AAUUAGUGAUCUAAUUACUAAUAUUUUUUAAAAAAUAGUAGAGUCUCAGUCUUAGUGGGACUCUCCCCCAGAGUCCUAGUCCAAGUAAGACUCUUCACCAGAGUCACAAUCUAAUUGGACUCUUAAGCCAUCUGAUCUGAUCAAAUCUUCUAAUACAUAAGACCCCAUAGGUUCAAACCUAAGUCGAUAGUAUAGGAAUAACUUUCUAUACUAAUCGAUGUAACCAUCUAACAAUGAUAACUCG
RNAcentral lists this long non-coding RNA (244 nucleotides) under Elaeis guineensis (African oil palm). RNAcentral's name for it is "long non-coding RNA (EGUI_LNC048159)". The record is from RNAcentral. Lineage: Eukaryota; Viridiplantae; Streptophyta; Magnoliopsida; Arecales; Arecaceae.